RNAcentral lists this ribosomal RNA (467 nucleotides) under uncultured bacterium. Its description in RNAcentral is "partial 16S ribosomal RNA". It matches the Rfam family "Bacterial small subunit ribosomal RNA", at positions 28 to 507 of the family's 1533-position model. The record is from RNAcentral.
GAUGAACGCUGGCGGCGUGCUUAACACAUGCAAGUCGAACGGUGAAGCAGUGCUUGCUCUGUGGGUCAGUGGCGAACGGGUGAGUAACACGCGAGCAACCCCCCCCUUUCUCUUGGGUAAGCCCUGGCAACGGCGUCUAAUACUGCAUAUGAGCUCCCCCCGCACGGUGAGCGGUUGGAAAGAUUUUUCGGUCUGGGAUGGGCUCACGGCCUAUCAGCUUGUUGGUGAGGUAAUGGCUCACCAAGGCGUCGACGGGUAGCCGGCCUGAGAGGGUGACCGGCCACACUGGGACUGAGACACGGCCCAGACUCCUACGGGAGGCAGCAGUGGGGAAUAUUGCACAAUGGGCGGAAGCCUGAUGCAGCAACGCCGCGUGCGGGAUGACGGCCUUCGGGUUGUAAACCGCUUUUGGCAGGGAAGAAGCGAGAGUGACGGUACCUGCAGAAAAAGCACCGGCUAACUACGUG